This 8631-nucleotide unclassified non-coding RNA is filed under the name Sitophilus oryzae (rice weevil). RNAcentral's name for it is "uncharacterized LOC115881269, transcript variant X3". Lineage: Eukaryota; Metazoa; Arthropoda; Insecta; Coleoptera; Curculionidae. The record is from RNAcentral.
CAAAAAUAGUUUAUUAUCGAUACGGUAUAAAAUACAAAUGAUAUAAUAUGUAAAUAGAAAAACGAAAGAUAUGUGAGAAUUAAUCUUACUAUAUGCUUCAGAAUACAAACGAUAACCAAUGGAGACCGAUGUCCAUUUCAAACCCAUCGACGAGACUACGCCUUGCCCGCAACAUGCCCCAAUGGGUGAAUAAAAGUGGUUCCAGUGGUGUUCCGCCACCUCCUGUACCUCGUGAAGAGUCUUCAAAAGCAAAACAUCAAACACAGGAACCCGAUUAUGAAGUAAUUGAAUUUGGGCAAUAUUCAAAUGCACCGUUACUACAAAAUAAACAUGAGCAAGGAAAACCCAGACCAGAAAAAAAUUGCCAACUAUGCGGAUCGUCUUCGCCAACAGUUAGCGUACGCUGUGAACAAUGCAAACAAAUUUUUUGUUUGUCAUGCGACGAUAUGUAUCAUAGACAUCCAAAGAGACAGACUCAUAUACGAAGGAGAAUAGAAGAUAAAGGAUUCCAGCCCAUAAGACCACCCCUGCCCCCCAAAGGAGAAAACCCCCAUGUUCCCGUGCCUCCGCCGCGUCGCCAUCGCAGAGCUGGAUCAGUCGGGCCAUCCCCAUGUCCAUCACCUACGCCAAUGAAACAGCAUGGUGCGUCCUCAUUCACAAUGCCUAGAAAGGACAACUCGUUCAGCCUUAAAGAGAAAAUGAGUAGUUUAAGAAGAGGACUUACUUUAGGUAAUAGACCUUUGCCCCCUACGCCUCCUAGUGGCAGCAGUGGCGUGCCUAGUUAUCCGACGUCAAGAUCGAACUCACAAGUGUCUCAUGAUGACUUUUCUCAAUUCCAACCCCCUAGUCCUAGUCCGUCGCUACAGCAGAGAUACCGGCAGCACCAAUUGGCAAUGAGAGGAACUACACCAAAUCUACCAUCAACUGUAGCGGAAUUUGACCAGCCGUCAAGCCUUGAUUCUGGCUAUCCAGAUUGGGAAAAAGAUCAAUGGCCAAUGCGCAAUCGCACAGGAAGCGUUUCUGGAUCAGAAACUGGAAGCCGGUUGGUUCGAAAGCUCAGUAAUACCUCCUGUCCACCACCAAAUCGUGGUGUACCUCACAGCACUUCCGUUUUCGAUUUAAACAAUGCACCCGUCCACCAUCAUCAUCAUGGGUUCAUCCCUAUGCAACAAGCUCAUUCCAUGGCACAACUGAACUACCCCGGAAUACCAUGCUGUCAAAAUGCUUGGAUGGAGCAACAGCAGUUGUGUUGUGAUCCCGCGCAUAACAGUACUAUGAGUCUUAAUAUGGCAGCAGCGGGUUAUCCAAGAAAUCCGAUGUGGAUGGGCACAUGGCACGGACCACCACCUGGAAUGUAUCCUUAUGGUCUUCCUCCCCCACAUGCCAGAUCGUGUUCACAUUCCCGUCCCGCUUCUCCAACCCACAGCGUGAAAUCCAGAAAAUCGAACAUGAGCAAAAAGUCCCGCAGAAAAUAUCGCGAUGAAACAUCAGAAGAGUCGGAUAUUGAAGAUCGACGAUCUGUUUUUAGUCAUUCUGAUAAUAGGAGCGAACGACGGUCUCUGGGACGAUAUUAUGUCCGGGAGAGACCCUUAAGAGACACCGUUUCCAUGCCCAAGGAAACCCUACGCAAAAAUUCAAGUAGCAAAGCCAGCGACAGACUCGAACGUACCUCAGUAGGUAGAAGUAGAGUGAGCGUACAAGAAUCAUCCAGCGAAGAAAGCGACGAUGAACAAUCGGACAGUCCCAAAGAUCCUCUGGAGCUCGACGAAGAAGAUGAAGUUUCUGAGGUGGAUACCGUUUCGCAACUGCCCACUUCAUCAUGGUCCUGUGAGCAUUGUACUUUUGUAAACGAACCAGGAACGCGCGUGUGCCUCGUGUGCUGCAAAACGCCUACCAGCAAGGUCAAAAUUGUAAAGAAUCCUUCCCCUCAAAGCCCCGUUUCCAAAAAACCUCCAGUAGGUCGGACCAUGGCCAGUCUUCAACCCAAACAAAAAGAGUCGAAAGAUAAGGAACGGGUAGGGCAAAACGUGAGCUCAGAUGAUUACAGUCGAGAUCACAGCGAGACCGAAUCGGCCCAGAACAAACUGGAAAAGCUAAACGUCAGCAGCUCGGGGGAAGAGAAAAAAAGUCCAGAACCCAAACCAAAAGGGGAGCUGGGAGCUGAUAUUACAGAAAAUAAUUCACUUUCUCGUGAUAAUCAUGAAAUAGAGGAAGUCGUCAAAAACAAUUCAAAAACGUCUACAGCUUGCGGGACUCCUCCGUCUCCUAAAGAAAUUUCAGAACAAUUUCAAGAUAACGUGCAGGAAAAAAAAAUGAGUACUACUAGUACUGGAACUUCGCCGCCGCCUCAAAAUAUGUCAACACAGACAUAUGAUGAACUGCCAUUUGUCGAGACACCAAAUUCCUUGUCAAAAAGUCCAAGAUCACCAAGAUCUAGAUCUGUUAGCCGUGGAAGCAAGAAAAGGGAACUAAAAAGAUCACAUUCCCUGCACACGAAUUCUUCGAAAAGAGAAUCCGACUGGUCGUUACAUAGAUCAUCCAGUCGUCAAAGCUUUACUACAGACUCCCAGAGCUUGCCAGGCAGCAGAGAACCCAGUCCUUUACCGUUCGACUACGAAGAAGCCUACUUCGAUAAUAAGCCCAAUAAUUACAGACAGCGGAAGUCCGGUAAUCCGAAGAUAUAUAGCAGCUUCAUGGAUUUAAGAAAGCCAGAAAUGUACCACCGAAGACCUAGUCAUCAAGACUACGGAUAUUACAGGCAGGUGGAUGGUUUGGAGCCUCUAAGUCACCAUCACAGAAGCGAAUCACUGCGUCCAGACUACUUUGACAACAGUUUUGAACGAAGAGAUUCGUAUAAAAACCAGGGCAUGGAACUAGUAAAGUUACUGAGAGAAGCUGAGCAAUUCAAGUUCACAGCUGAUGAAGUUCAGGCAGCUUUGCUUCAUUGCAAAGAUAUGAACCCAAUAGAUUGGUUAAAGGAACACUGGGAUGCAACUAUCGCUAGCGUUCAAACCCUGGCUACCCAAAUGGGUAGAGAAGGACCAAUGAAUAUUGUUGGCACCGUGUCAGAGAAAGAAGCUAGAGACGCUCUUAGACUUCAUAAGGGUGACCUAUGGCCAGCCGUUCAAGAAUGUGUCGAUCAAAGACAAAGAAAAUACGCAGAACUGGCUAGCCGUGGCGACUAUUCUAGAGAGGAUAUCGUGACGGUACUUACAACAAAUCAUGGUGAUUUAGAGGCUGCAUACAGCGAACUAAAUAGGACUCAAAUAAAACCAUUCCUAAUGAGGAUUUGGGGACCGCCUACCGGUGUGGAAAACGAGGCAGGUAACGAGGGGGCUACGCUGCAAAGGUUCAGGGGGGAAGAUGUGUUAAGUGACGAGGAAAAACAAUUGAAAAUAGAAGCAGAAGCGGUAAGUGACGCAUCAAUUAAAUCUAGCAAUAACUCGGAAAAGUCUUCCCCUCGAAACGUGCAUCACACCACCUCGUCCCCCCAGGAUUUAAAAAAAGCCCGACAAACCAAUAACCGUUUAGAUGACGUAGAAGAUUUAAGUAGAAGUAGAAAUAGCAACCUUGACGAUUUAGAUGCUUUAGAAACGGAGAUUUUAAAAAAAAUUCAAGAUAUUAACAACCUAAACGAUGAACUAAACGCUAAAGAACCGCUAACCCUAAACCGAUCGCCGACGAACACUAAUCAAGCUAAACCUUUGCAAAACUCUUCGAAUAUAACGAAAUCAAACCUUGAAAAUGUAACCGCCCUUAAAGAUGAUCCGGUGACUCCGGUAAUAGUAGAGCCUCAAACACCCCAAACUCCAAAAAUAUACGUUGAGAAAAGUAGCACCGUCAUUCAAGUAGUGGAUUCAGUAAAUUUUGAUUUUGGAAACAUACAGAAAAAUGAAGGUCCCGAAUCUAGUUCUUCUAGUUCUAACGAAGAAAACUUAGGAGAUGAACAGUUUGCAGAUGCCAUAGAAGAUCUUAACAACGAGCUAAUAAAUUUGAACAAUAAUAAAAAUAAUGCAAAUGAAGAUAAAACAUCAAACAAAGAUGAACGCGAAGAAAAAGGAAUCUCUCCUAAAAAUAUCUCUCAACCUUCAACAUCUCAGAAGAAGCCUGAUAGAAAAAUUAGUGUUAGUACACUGAAUAUUCAGAUAGUUGGAUCAAAUAAAAAUAAAGGUGAUUCACUUUCAAAAGCCAUCCAAAUAGAAGACGAAGAUAGACAACCAACUACUCAGGAUAAAGACGAGGUAAAAGAAAGCACUGCUCAAAUUGUUUUGAUGACAAGUAAAAAAGAAACUGAGAAUGAUAACAAACAAGUUGAAUCAAAUAGUCCUUUAGAUAUAGGACAUAAAAUAGACAAUAGUAAGUCUGAACCAACAAUUAAGAAUAAUAAUGAAUCCAGUAUCAGUCAAAAAAAUAAUAUUGAUAACAGUAUUGAAGAAAACAAACAAGAAGUGAUUAUUCAAGAAUCAGAAGGACAGGAUAUAAGUAUCACAACUGAAAAUGAUAAAAUAAAUAUUCUAGAAGAAGUUAAUGAAGAUUGUAUUAUUAAAGAAAGUAAUGAAACUAGUCAAACAACUCUUGAGAAUCAAGAAAAUAUUAGUAAGAUCUCGAAUCCCAAUAAAAACCAAUGUGAAGUGGAUCAAAAUCAAAAUUUUAUUAUAAUAAGUGACACUCAACAAAUAACACCAGCCCAAGUCGAUUUAGAAUAUCGGAAUAAUGUACAAAAAAUAACUCAGGAGAGUGAAGAUUCAGAUAAACAAAAUAUUGAUAUUAUUAAAGAAAUUUCAUCUGAAGAGACAUCAGUUUUAAAUCACAAGGCAUCUGUACAAGUAGAUCUGCAAAAAACUGUUGAAAUGGGAGAUAGUCAAAGUGGAAUGAGCAAUUCAAACAUAACAAAAGAUGAAACUAUCCUAAACCAACAAAUACCAGAAAAUUUUGAAGAUAAAAAGCUUAAACCGUCUCCAAAAAAUGAGAAAGUAUCUGAAAAAAGAAAUGUGGAUAAGGAUAAAUUGCCAACUCCUAUAAAAGAUGUGGUAAUCCAAGAAAUUGAUGCGAUUGCAUUGGAAAAUACUAUAACAGAUUGUAGACAACCAGAGGCUAAGUUUGAACCAACACAAAUUACUUCUGUAUUAGAUGAAAAUGUAAAUGUGACACAGACAAGUGAUCAAAUUAAUUCUAUUGAAAAUAUCAAAGAAAAUGAUAACAAAAUAGUUGAAAAAAAUAAUGAUUCUAAAGGGGAAUCAAAAGAAAAUAUGCCUCCAACAGGAUUAAAGUCCAAAUCCUCUACUAAAAGACGCAGGAAAUCAAGAAAGAAGUUCCAACAAAAAGAUAAGAAAAGUAAUUUGAAGAAACAAGACUCCACAAGUACUACUGAAUCUAGCAGUGAUGCACCUGAAAAAGAGCAUUCAAAAAAUGAUAAUCAAACGAACGAGGAAACGCAAAGCGAUUUAGAGUCGUCAAAAGGUGCCUUAGCUGGCCAUAAACUUGGCAGAAAAAAGCCUUUGAAAAAGAACGAUAGUCAGAAAUAUACCAAAUAUAAGAAUAUGCCAAUUAGACAAGUUCCUGAUUCGCCAAUCGAUGAAAACCCUGAAAUUGUAUUUGAAGGUGAUAAGAAUAAGGAUAAAAACAAUAUAAUUUCCACAAAUGUAACGAAAAAAAAUCAAAUAACAAAAACCGAUACAGAAAUUGGGUUGUUGACACCUAAAGAAAAAGAUAGUAAUUUUUCCAAUGACACAGAUAACGUUUUAAAUACUAAACAAAAAGAGAUUAAACCAAUUAUCUCAACUAAGAUUCAAAUGGCUCAAAACAACCAGACUACAAUAACGCCUGGUAAAAAUAGACCUUCAAAAAUUCCGGUAAUAUCAAGACAAAAUUCGAUUUCAAAAGAGCCUAAAUCGCCUACUAACACAAGCGGAAGUAAGAUUCCAAUCAAAAUGCCAAGUCCUCCAAAAAGACUGAAGAAAAAAGAAACCACAUCUGAAGAACAUCGAAGUAAAUCUGAUGAGGAAACCAAACAACAGAUUCCACUUGAAGAAAGUACUGGGAGAAAUAACAGUUAUUCUGCUUUCAAUAAAACAGAUUCUUCUAAAUAUUUUAUUAAACAAUCCCGAAGUCUAUCUCCAAAAUUAGUUGGAACUGAGAAACCAAGUACUUCAAAACCUUUCGAUCAAAGGAGAAGUCUCUCAAGAAAAUCUUCAAUUAAGUCAAACAAAAGUGACGAUAUUCGAAAUCCUUUAAAUAGAAAAAUCGCUCAUAACUCUUUUAAGAGUUCUUUCGACUCUACAACAAGUUCUAAAAAAAUGUCGUACACAAAAAGUCUCGAUUACGACAGCGAAAGCUCUGUAUCUGACAGCAAUGUUGAGGAACUCCUAGAUCCUAGUACCGAUGAAGAUAUUGAUGAUUUCGAAGACGAUUUUGAGAAUAUAGAUGAAGAAGAACUGCAUAGUAAUUCGGAGGAGUACAGAAACUUUGACGAGCAAAAAACGAAAGUAGCUCAAGAACUCAACAUAGAUCUAACUCAAAUUAGCGACAGAGUCAAUCAAUUGACUUUGAAUCUUGAUAAUAAGGCUCAGAACUUUCAAUCUAUCGAAGAGACAUGCGAAUCGGAAGAAUAUGAGUCCGAGGAAGAAAUAGAAGUUGACGAAACUGAAAGCAGCAUUGAAGAACGAGAUGGAAGUUAUAUAGAUGAUGAGUUGGGCAAUGACGGUUCUGAGGGGAAUGAGUUUAAAGUGGAGAAAAAAGAGCCCACUGAAAUUGAAGUUAUGGAGAGACAGGCAAGAAGAUUUUUAGCAGAAGGACAAGUCCAGAACUACCAGCAAGCGGAGUUAGCAGUCAGUUUGAUGUCUCUAAAAUUCUCCGCUGAAGAAGCUUUGGAGGCGGCUCGUGACUGCAAUACUCUAGACACUGCCAUAUCUUUUUUACAGCAGGACUGUGAACUGUGCGCCGGGAAAUAUCCUGUAAAUAAUAUUGUAUCUAUGUUGAAGUGUACCCAUCGUUGCUGUCAAGAUUGUGCGAAAAACUACUUUACUGUACAAAUUACAGACAGAAGUAUUAUGGAUUGUAACUGUCCGUUUUGUAAGGCUCCAGAACUAAGUUAUAACAGUUCUGCGUCAGAAGAUGAUAUCUCCGAUUAUUUUGCGCAUCUGGACAUUUUACUAAAAGGAAUCUUGGAUCCCCCAGUGCACGAAUUAUUUCAGCAAAAAUUGCGAGAUAGAACACUAAUGCAAGAUCCCAAUUUUAAAUGGUGCGCGCAGUGUUCCUCUGGAUUUAUAGCUCAUCCAAAACAAAAAAGACUGCUCUGUCCAGAUUGCAAAUCAGUUACUUGUGCGAGCUGUAGGAGACCAUGGGAAAAGCAGCAUGAGGGCAUCACUUGCGAAAAGUUUGCUGAAUGGAAAGACGCGAAUGAUCCUGAAAAUCAAGCUACAGCUGUUGCUAAGCAUCUGGCUGAAAAUGGUAUUGAUUGUCCAAAAUGCAAGUUCAGGUAUUCUUUGGCAAAAGGAGGUUGUAUGCAUUUUACAUGUAUUCAAUGCAAACAUGAAUUUUGUUAUGGCUGUGGCAAACCAUUUAUGAUGGGUGCAAAAUGUGGAAUGAGCCAGUAUUGUGCCAAAUUGGGACUACACGCGCACCAUCCUAGAAACUGUCUAUUCUAUCUAAGAGAUAAAGAACCACAUGAUUUACAGAAACUUUUGAAGGAUAACAAAAUAACAUUUGAUACAGUCCUCCCGUCAGAAAAAGAAGAUAAUGCUAGUGCAGUACUAAAAUGUCCAGUACCAUUGCAGAAAGAAGCUCCAACAGGCCUAAUAGAUACAGUUUGUAAUAACGACGUAUUACAGGGUCAAGCAGGGUUGUGCAGAAUGCAUUACAUAGAAUAUUUAUGUUUUCUUAUAAGAAGAAACAAAAUCGAAACAUUAGAAAUUCUGCAGGAGGAUGACUUAGAAACACUUGUUAGACGCGCCUCUAAAAAAUUGCCCCCAAACGCGUAUGGCACCCCUAAGAGAAUGUACAAGUUUAGACUUAAGCAGGUAUUUAAGUGGCGUGGUUUAAAGGCUAGAAUAAUUCUUUUUUGUGCGUGUUGUCAUUUUUGUUUGUUAUUUGUAAUUAACUUUUGCCUGGAUAGACAAAAUAAUACCUUUCGAUACCCUUUAAACCACACCAUUAACUUCCAACAUUCUAACUAACCAUUUCCUUUUUGUUUGUGUGUGAUAGGCAACACUAUGUGGAAUACUUAGUGGGCCUCAUUGGAAAACACAAGUUGGAUCCAAUCUUAAUUCUGGAUUUGAAUGAAGUGUAUCAGGAGUUCAGAAGAAGAGGAAAAGAAUUGCCGGAAAGAGGACCUUGGUGUGAUGACAAACAAUAUUGGGAUAUGUGUGUUAAGAUUGUUAUGGAACAAAUACCUUUGGAAUGAAACAAAUAUAUGCCUCAGAUUGAGAAAGAAGCAGCAUAUCUAUGUACUGAUGGACAAGAUUCCUAUGUAUUGAUUAGGAAAUGAUAGAAAGUUAUGAAGUACCUAAAAGAGUACAGAGGAGUGCAAUAUUUAAUAACUACCAGCAAUAUUUAAAAUAUAAAAUGUUUGUAUUAUUUAACUAAUAUCCUUCCAAUUUUCAUAGUUAAAAUAAAGUAAAAACUUUCCCUGAA